This 343-nucleotide unclassified non-coding RNA is filed under the name Hevea brasiliensis (rubber tree). The record is from RNAcentral. Lineage: Eukaryota; Viridiplantae; Streptophyta; Magnoliopsida; Malpighiales; Euphorbiaceae.
GCCCCUCCCUUGAGUGAGGAUACAUCCAAAACAAUCAAGCUUUUUGAUGCUUUCUCUAGUUCUGGAGUUCCACAAUUUAUGAUGAUCUUAUUAUCAGUCUUGGAUACUGAAUGGUCCCAAGGCAGAUUAAUCCCUUCAGAUGAUGAUUUCUGGGUGGCUACUGUAUUUCCAUCAAGCCCCAAGAGUUUCUUGAGGUUCUCAUAGCACUCUUCAAGUUUAUCGUUAUACAAAAUGUGAUCAAAGAUGCCUGAUGAAUUUCCUUGUUCCACCUCUGCCUCUGAAUUUCGAAGUCGCUUAAGGAUCUGCUCCUCCAACUCAGUCCCCCUUGCACGAAGUCUCUUCU